UACGUAGGGUGCGAGCGUUGUCCGGAAUUAUUGGGCGUAAAGAGCUUGUAGUCGGUCUGUCGCGUCUGCUGUGAAAAUCCGGGGCUCAACCCCGGACUUGCAGUGGGUACGGGCAGACUAGAGUGUGGUAGGGGAGACUGGAAUUCCUGGUGUAGCGGUGAAAUGCGCAGAUAUCAGGAGGAACACCGAUGGCGAAGGCAGGUCUCUGGGCCACUACUGACGCUGAGAAGCGAAAGCAUGGGGAGCGAACAGG
Molecule: ribosomal RNA, 253 nt
Filed under: uncultured bacterium
Lineage: Bacteria
Description: partial 16S ribosomal RNA
Rfam family: Bacterial small subunit ribosomal RNA
Source: RNAcentral